GCAGCCAUGCCGCGUGUGUGAAGAAGGCCUUCGGGUUGUAAAGCACUUUCAGGAGGAGGAAAGGUUACUGGCUAAUAUCCAGUAGCUGUGACGUUACUCGCAGAAGAAGCACCGGCUAACUUCGUGCCAGCAGCCGCGGUAAUACGAGGGGUGCAAGCGUUAAUCGGAAUUACUUUUUCUUAAAGCGUACGCAGGCGGUUUGUUAAGCGAGAUGUGAAAGCCCCGGGCUCAACCUGGGAACUGCAUUUCGAACUGGCAAACUAGAGUCUUGUAGAGGGGGGUAGAAUUUCAGGUGUAGCGGUGAAAUGCGUAGAGAUCUGAAGGAAUACCGGUGGCGAAGGCGGCCCCCUGGACAAAGACUGACGCUCAGGUACGAAAGCGUGGGGAGCAAACAGGAUUAGAUACCCUGGUAGUCCACGCCGUAAACGAUGUCUACUCGGAGUUGAGUGUCUUGAACACUGGGCUCUCAAGCUAACGCAUUAAGUAGACCGCCUGGGGAGUACGGCCGCAAGGUUAAAACUCAAAUGAAUUGACGGGGGCCCGCACAAGCGGUGGAGCAUGUGGUUUAAUUCGAUGCAACGCGAAGAACCUUACCUACUCUUGACAUCCUCAGAACUUCCAGAGA
This 625-nucleotide ribosomal RNA is filed under the name Shewanella sp. Its description in RNAcentral is "bacterial SSU rRNA". It matches the Rfam family "Bacterial small subunit ribosomal RNA", at positions 388 to 1006 of the family's 1533-position model. Lineage: Bacteria; Pseudomonadati; Pseudomonadota; Gammaproteobacteria; Alteromonadales; Shewanellaceae. The record is from RNAcentral.